UGCUACAAGAUGGCCGACGAAGCGAUCGAGAAAUUUCCUUGACUUAAAAGACAAAGUUUCCAUACGUAUUAAAUCUUUACGGUUCUCGAAAUUGAAGCAUCUUCAUGAGAAUCAAAAUAGAAGUGAGACUGAAGCCGAGCAUGAGCAUAAUUUUGGUGAAACUACUCCUUGUCCAGUGUCCGCUGCAGCACCACGUGGGUACUCCGGUAUCGAUCUGUGCCUGAUGUUGUUUUCUGUAUAGACAUUUUAAAGACCAUGACCUUACAGAUGUUAAUUGGUAUGACGGAAGAAGUAAAAUUUUUGGAGAACAGAUUUUUCGUAUGCUGUGUCCGUGUCAGAUACAUAAGGAAAGUUCAAGCCAGAUCUGCUACAGCAAACUGAACAUAAAGUGGCAUACUUGUGUGUCAGGAAACGAGGAACAUGUAUGGCUGGUCUGAGAAUCUAACCGGGGAUCCCUGCAUCACUACUUACAUAUCCCAUGGAAAUAUAGGAUCCUUGGCUAAUCAUGUGACAUCUGCAGUGUUACAAAAGAAUAUUGGAUUUAUAUCAAUAAGAAAAAGAACUACCAGAAGGAGACGGUAAAGAGGAACGGACAUAUCACACCAUAAGACGUGCUUCAAAAUCUGAAAAUACAGAGUGAAUUUUGCUUACUGCAGAUCCUUGUGAAAGAACACCUUUGUUGUAUUGACAUAAAAACAACGGAAUUGUCAUGAUCCUUGAACAAGACGCAACUGGCUGCAUACGAUGGCAAUUAAAAAUGCAUACAUGUUUACACUGAUCUUUGUUAGCCAAUAAGACAAAAAGCAAAAUAGCAAGU
Molecule: long non-coding RNA, 817 nt
Organism: Saccostrea cuccullata (small rock oyster)
Lineage: Eukaryota; Metazoa; Mollusca; Bivalvia; Ostreida; Ostreidae
Exons: 4
Source: RefSeq, a predicted model, not a curated record